Molecule: ribosomal RNA, 484 nt
Filed under: uncultured bacterium
Lineage: Bacteria
Description: partial 16S ribosomal RNA
Rfam family: Bacterial small subunit ribosomal RNA
Source: RNAcentral
GACGAACGCUGGCGGCGUGCUUAACACAUGCAAGUCGAACGAUGAAGCUAGAGCUUGCUCUGGUGAAUUAGUGGCGAACGGGUGAGUAACACGUGAGUAGCCUGCCCCGAACUCUGGGAUAACUGCUGGAAACGGUAGCUAAUACUGGAUACGAACUACGAAGGCAUCUUCUGUAGGUGGAAAGAACUUCGGUUCGGGAUGGACUCGCGGCCUAUCAGCUUGGUGGUGGGGUAAUGGAUCACCAAGGCGACGACGGGUAGCCGGCCUGGGGGGGUGACCGGGCACACUGGGACUGAGACAAGGCCCAGACUCCUACGGGAGGCAGCAGUGGGGAAUAGUGCACAAUGGGCGCAAGCCUGAUGCAGCAACGCCGCGUGAGGGAUGACGGCCUUGGGGUUGUAAACCUCUUUUAGUAGGGAAGAAGCGAAAGUGACGGUACCUGCAGAAAAAGCACCGGCUAACUACGUGCCAGCAGCCGCAGUAA